This 405-nucleotide ribosomal RNA is filed under the name uncultured bacterium. Its description in RNAcentral is "partial 16S ribosomal RNA". It matches the Rfam family "Bacterial small subunit ribosomal RNA", at positions 30 to 526 of the family's 1533-position model. The record is from RNAcentral.
AUUGAACGCUGGCGGCAGGCCUAACACAUGCAAGUCGAACGAGCGGCGGACGGGUGAGUAAUGUAUGGGGAUCUGCCCGAUAGAGGGGGAUAACUACUGGAAACGGUGGCUAAUACCGCAUACAACGGAUGAAACCAUAUGGGAUUAGCUAGUAGGUGGGGUAAAGGCCCAACUAGGCGAAGAUCUCUAGCUGGUCUGGGAGGAUGAUCAGCCCCACUGGGACUGAGACACGGCCCAGACUCCUACGGGAGGCAGCAGUGGGGAAUAUUGCACAAUGGGCGCAAGCCUGAUGCAGCCAUGCCGCGUGUAUGAAGAAGGCCUUAGGGUUGUAAAGUACUUUCAGCGGGGAGGCGUUACCCGCAGAAGAAGCACCGGCUAACUCCGUGCCAGCAGCCGCGGUAAUUC